CUCACCUCCUCACUUCCUCGGACCACCCCCUUAAAGAACCUUUUGCACUUGAACCUCAGGGCCUGCAGAAGAGGUCAAGCACCUUACAUGGGGGUCCAGUGUAUUGUGGUGUCAGAGGCUUCUUGGCCUAACCGGUGUGUCUCUGCUCAGAUGGCAUCCUGGACUCUCCUUCCCAACCGUACCUCACAGCACGGUGACGGCUUGUCCUGAGCACCAGCUAAGGUGAAACUUGCCUUUUCCUCUUCCUCUUCCUUUUGCUUUUUUUUUUUUUUCCUCCUAACAUGAGUCAAGUUCCUGGCAUAGGGCAGGGCCUCCACGGUCAUUGCUUAUUAUUGGGGAGGGUGAAAUGCUGAUAGAGCCGCUGGGAAUGCGUGCUCCGUAUCUGAAGAGGCCCCCAGAGACGGUGGAAGAAACCACAUUGAACUCGGUCAUCUCGGGAUGUACCCUGAAUGUUUUGUGUCUUGGCUUUCCCCCCCCCUUGGCUGGGUUGUGGGGCUUUUCCUGAGCUGGGUAGGGAAGGGAUAGAGCUGAGAGUGUGGGCGUCUGCCUAAGUCCUCUUGAGGUUAUUGGAGAGGCUAUUAUUUGUCUUUUUUUCUCAUCUUACUCCGUAUCAACUUGGGGGAAGAAGAGGGCAGGACCCGGUGUCCCACCUUCACCCCCCGAGGCCCCUCCGCCCUGUCCACCGGCUCCCCGCGCUGCCUGCGUUCCUGGCCGUGUCGUUCGGAUCCUUCGGGCUCACUGCGGUGGCAGCUUGGCUUGGACUAGCGAGGGCUGUCUCCUCUCGGUCCUCGGUGGAAACUUACUUCUUAAGAGAACAAGCCGUAAACAGCAAGCAGGCUGGUGACCGGAGCGCUCUGUUCUAACAGUGCGGAGAACAGGUACCUCGCAUCCCUCUCCCCCAGCCACGCAGCGAGGGGCGGGGCACGGGGAGGGGCCUGGAGGCCCGCAUCUGGCUGCUGGCUUCCUCCAGGCCUCAGUCUCCCCGUCUGCAAAAGGGGUGAACAAUAAUAGCGUUCACCACACUGGAAUUUUUUGUUCUACUUUUCUUGAAGAAUAACAUCCAUAAGCACAGCCACUGUAUGCGUGCAGUCGACAGAUGUUUCCAAACUGAGCACGCUCAGGUAACCAGCAUCCAGAUGAAGAACCAGAACUUUCUUAAGACUCCUCAUGGUCUCCUUCUCUGCAGAAGAGGGUUGUUUUGAGGAUAGAUGAGCUGAUAUUUGUAAAGUCCUCAGAAGAGUGCCUAGCACGGAGUAAUCACUUUAAUCACUAUUUGUUAAAAAAUAAAUGAAUUAGAAGGGAACUUCGGCUUUCUGAGGUUGCAGCUUCUUACUUUAUUUUAGUGAAAGCACAGCUAUCUUGCAAGUUCAGGCCCCCGCUCUCUCUCUCCUUAACGUGCAGCAGGCAGGAUGAAUUAAGACUCUUCAAAAUAAUCAAUUAUUUCCUUAUCACAGAAGGCCAGAUGGUGCAUUAUUCGGCAAACAGCUUCUGUGGAAUGCCAACAAUUUUGCUUUGAUGAGAAAAGAAAUAUGCAAUUAGGCUGCUGUCAUCCUCAACAAAGAGCCAGAUGUACGGCAGCCAGCCCUCCAGGAGGAGCCAACACAGCCUGGGCCCAGGUUAGGGGUCCGGGGGUGAUGGGGGAAGGAGGUCUGGAAGGCACUUUGUCACCUGCACAUGCCACGAGAGACACAAGGAAAACUGGCCUGAGGACAGUUCCCCUGGAAUUGGCCAAAAUGGCCUGAAGCAGGGUCGAAGAGUUAGUACAUGCACAAUUACCUCCACACAAUGUUUUAAAACUUACAAGCAGAGGAAAUGGUUAUGCCAUUAUGGUGACGUGUUGUACUUUUAUUCAACCUUGGAAUACAUCUGUGUUCCUUCCCUUGUCUUUGUUACACAAAGCCAAUUAAAGAAAAAACAUCAAAAAAUCACAUUGAACCAUUUAGAAGGGGGAAAAAUGAUGGUUAAUGACGUAUUUUCUAGAACACAUGAAAUUCUGGGAAGGUCGUUAAGUAUUCUCUUCUACCAUCACCUGGGACCACUUAUAGAGCUAUAAAGACACAGGGAAGAAGGUGAAAGAGGAUCUGGAGACAUCUGAUUGGGGGAGGGGGGACGAGAGGGCAGGAGGCAGCUCCUGGAGGUGUUGGCGUAUCAUGUGGCCCUGGAAGGUACUCUCACAUUUUGCAGGGAGAGGCCUGGACAGUAAGAGCAGUAAGGGAAACAGCCAGGUACUGGUUUCUAAAAAUUUAUAACAUUCUCUGGAGGGCAGAGAGACCUUUUUAAAUCUUAGAUCUUACUGAUUUCUCUGGACAAGGGUAGCCAGCGAUUUUUUUUUAAUUAAUAAGUAAAUUUGCUUCUGAGUUGUAGGUCCAUGUUCCAUUUUCUGGAAAUCAAGAGCUUUUUUUUUUUAAAAAAAAGAUUUAUUUAUUUAUUUGAGAGAGAGAGAAAGAGAGAGGGAGUACGAGUUGAGGGGGUGGGACAGAGGGAGAGAGAGAAUCUCAAGCAGAUUCCCCACUAAGCAUGGAGCCCAAUGUGGUGCUCCAUCCCAUGACCCAUGAAAUCAUGACCUGAGUUGAAAUCACGAGUUGGUCGCUUAACCGACUGAGCUACCCAGGCGCCCCAAGACCAUUUUUAUUAGGUUUAGACUCAGUCCUCUUUGGGCAUGUCUCAGAGGCCAGAGCUGCUUCCAUGGUGUAGAAUGCCACCACCAUCCCUGAGUGGGGCCUCUGUGUGUCUCUGUUGGAGGAAUUUGGUAUAGAGAAAGGUCCAAAUGGGAAACCAACUGGGGAUGUCAUGGCUCUUCCAGCUCUUUCUUCUGUCCAGCCACAAAGAAGUUGGAUGCAGUCCCCUUUACCUUAAUUCAGGGUUUUUUAAUCAAGAAGAAAUGUAGGUGACUUGGGUGUGUGUGCAUGAGGGAGAGAGAGAGAAAGAAGGAGGUAGAGAGAGUACUUCAUUCAAUGCCUAUGAAUGUCUGAACUCUAAUAACUUGGGUGUGCAGAUUCCAUAGAAACAAUCCAUGUAUGAUGUCCCAAAAUAAUUUCAUUAAAAUCAGGGCCUUACACUGUGCAUGAAACAUCCGGAUUUCAGAUCCUGUGCAAAUUGACUGUGGUUGCUGUGGGCAGGAGGAAAGU
Mirounga angustirostris (Northern elephant seal) is the source of this 3128-nucleotide long non-coding RNA. RefSeq lists it as uncharacterized. The record is from RefSeq and is a predicted model, not a curated record. The transcript has 2 exons. Lineage: Eukaryota; Metazoa; Chordata; Mammalia; Carnivora; Phocidae.